UACAGAGGUCCCAAGCGUUGUUCGGAUUCACUGGGCGUAAAGGGUGCGUAGGUGGUGAGGUAAGUCGGAUGUGAAAUCUCCGAGCUCAACUCGGAAAUGGCAUUGGAAACUACCUUGCUCGAGGGUUGGAGGGGGGACUGGAAUUCCUGGUGUAGCGGUGAAAUGCGCAGAUAUCAGGAGGAACACCGGUGGGGAAGGCGGGUCCCUGGGCCGAUACUGACGCUGAGGAGCGAAAGCGUGGGGAGCGAACAGG
This 253-nucleotide ribosomal RNA is filed under the name uncultured bacterium. RNAcentral's name for it is "partial 16S ribosomal RNA". It matches the Rfam family "Bacterial small subunit ribosomal RNA", at positions 524 to 776 of the family's 1533-position model. The record is from RNAcentral.